Non-coding RNA from Misgurnus anguillicaudatus (oriental weatherfish), 2161 nucleotides. Lineage: Eukaryota; Metazoa; Chordata; Actinopteri; Cypriniformes; Cobitidae. The record is from RefSeq and is a predicted model, not a curated record.
UCUAAAAAAAAAAGGUUCCUUGAGGUUCUAUAUAGAACCGUUGGGUUCUAUACUUGGCCAAUAGAACCUUUUACCAAAAAAAGGGUUCCAUAUAGAACCCUUGGAAGGCAAAGAACCAUUUUUAUUAAAAUGGUUCUAUAAUUCACGUUUUCUGACUGAAGUGUAAACUAAAGAUUACACAAUAAUUGCAGACCUACACAACUCAUUUACAAACCUACACAACUCAUUCACAAACCUUUUUGUGUCAAUAGGCUGUGGUCAAAAAAAGAGAGAGUCAACAAAUAGGCUAUUAAUAUUUAGUGUAUGAUUUAUUUCCUGUGAGCUUUUUUAUGCAAGUUUGUACAUUAGCAUGAAACUUACAGUGCAGUUUGCGUUUCUGGUGAAUUAUCAGGUGUUUUCUUUAUUUUGUACAUUCUAUAUUGUCAAUGUUUGUUUAAUUUAACCUGAAGGGGCAUUAAAAACAAAUAAUCGCAAAAGUGCCCUCUGGUGGCGUAUAUAUGCGUUGCACCAGAAGAUGAGCCUCGUGACGUGACAGUUUUUUUUUCAAACUGAGGUGAGGAGUUCGGACUCCGGACCGGCAUUUCUGCUUGUUUGUACCCUGUCCCUGAGAUAACCAUGGUUAAUAAAUGGUCAGACACGUCACUGGCUUUAAAAUAUAAACCCCAUUGAUGCAAAAAGAUGCUGCAUGGAAUGACAAUGAGGUUUGGAACAGACUUGGUGAAGAACAUGAAAACAUCUCUAAAUAAAAUGGCGCCAAACAUCAUCAGGAGUGCAAAAGAAGGAAGUAAAAACAUCUCUACACCAAUCUCAUUGGAGAGGAAACCACAGAAGGUCUGGUGAGGAAUGCUGCACUUCUGUUAUUGCAAGCAUUAUUUCAAGAAAAUCCCAGCUUCCUUUACUGUGUAAAUAGUGAACCUAAAGGUCCCACACCAACCAUAGUGUUCAACGGCUCUCCUGAUCUUCUCAAAUCUGAAAGUAUCAACUGUAUAAUGGACAAUGUGAACUUAAUAUGUGGAAGACAUUGACAUCACAGGCUGUGGAAUGACUGUGUCACAGGUCAGAGAAGCGGACCGCCCCUGUCGCGGAUCACGCUCCUCCUAGUUCCACCUUGAGGAGGUCCCAAAGCACCCCAAUGACCAGACAAACCAGAGAUAAGUAAAAUAUAAAAAUAGAAACUUUAUUUAAAUUAUCUAAAACUAAAGUGGGGAAUUGGAAAGGGAAUCUAAAAAUCUCGCUUCUCGCCCUCAGGGGGAGUAUUAAGGGGCCAGGGACGUUGGAGGGGUUUCCACGUGACUCCACCUCGAACACCGCUACAGAGCGUAUCUGGCUGGGUUGGGCACACACCGUCGCGGCGGCCCCUGAUGGCAUCCACAAAGGUCCAAGACCCUCCUAAGCUCCCAGCCGUAGCAGAACUACGUAUUUCAGCACCUGAACGACUAACAACCCAGCCGGCAUCUGCAGCGUAUAUCCAACGCGAUCAAACUUCACUCUGACAAGUAACUUCCUAUACACAACCACGCCGUCCUAUCGCCCGGAUCAGCAGAGCCUGCGGACUCUUCGGAGGCUGGUCUUCGUUGUGCUGCCCAAGGCGGAAGUUUACUUCCAGUAACUUCUACCUUCUCUCUUUAUAUCCUCCUCCAUGGCGUGGCUCGCCCAACCAUCGCUCGCCACGUCACUCACACAGCUGUGCCUUGUUUCAGCGAGUGCGGGGAUUCCCGGGGAACCCGGAAGUGCCGGUGUCUGUACAAACUGGUCCGGGCGGAACCUCUUCACUCUCCUUUUGGUUCCGCCCCGCAUAGUCACUCCGUGACAACUGUUUGCGUUUUUUUUUCUCCUCAAUGUUCAAUACCCUUUUGCCAUAAAGCACACAGUGACUUUAAUUUAUAAAAUAUAUGCUUAAGUUUUAAUACCUGUACAAAACAAAUGUACAAUCAACUUGUGUAAAUUGUCAUUCUAUUUAAUAGAUUGUUCAUGAAUUGUCUUUAAAUGCAUUGUGAUUUCGGUAACACUUUACAAUAAGGUUCAUUAGUUAACAUUAGUUAAUGUAUUAACUAACUUGAACAAACCAUGAGCAAUACAUUUGUUACAGUAUUUAUUCAUCUUUGUUAAUGUUAGUUAAUUCAAAUUUAAGCUUUAAUUGCUUGUUCAUGUUAGUUCAGAG